RNAcentral lists this ribosomal RNA (377 nucleotides) under uncultured bacterium. RNAcentral's name for it is "bacterial SSU rRNA". It matches the Rfam family "Bacterial small subunit ribosomal RNA", at positions 521 to 896 of the family's 1533-position model. The record is from RNAcentral.
UAAUACGUAGGGGGCAAGCGUUGUCCGGAUUCAUUGGGCGUAAAGAGCGUGUAGGCGGCCAUGUAGGUCCGAUGUGAAAACUCGAGGCUCAACCUCGAGCUGUCAUUGGAAACCAUGUGGCUAGAGUCCGGAAGAGGAGAGUGGAAUUCCUGGUGUAGCGGUGAAAUGCGCAGAUAUCAGGAAGAACACCUAUGGCGAAGGCAGCUCUCUGGGACGGUACUGACGCUGAGACGCGAAAGCGUGGGGAGCGAACAGGAUUAGAUACCCUGGUAGUCCACGCCGUAAACGAUGGGCGCUAGGUGUGGGCGGUGUCGACUCCGUCCGUGCCGCAGCUAACGCAUUAAGCGCCCCGCCUGGGGAGUACGGCCGCAAGGCUA